AGAUACAGGGAGCUUUCGAGCACGGCGAUUAUUUGGCAGUAUUCGUGGACCGGCUGAAGAGUACUACCCUUUCCGGAGUUCCUUGCUUGUCUUCUUGUGUCUCUGGUUCCUACUGAGGCCGAUCUCGCUCUGAUGCCCAACCCCCUAUUAUGGCUUCCUAUGACACCGACGUUACCCAGUAUUAUAACAUCCCUUCACUUUACCCUGAAGAAUGGCCAGCAGAGCUGAAUGAAAGCGAUGAUUCUGAUGGCGAAGACCCCUUGUCGUCUGGUCCCUCCACCUCAGCCUCCCAACGACGAAAAUCGAGAUAUGCUGCUCUCCAAAGGGGUGGGAGCGACCGGAGGAGCAUAGUGCCGGGAUCUCAACGGACUGGAGAUGGAAGGGAUAACUUGGUUCAAAAAGACGAGCCAGAUCCUUUGGGAUCUUCUGAUAGUGUGGUUAGGAUGUUGAAACAACGUGGUAUCGCUGAUGAUGAUGCCCGCGUUCGAAACCGUUACCUGCUCUCCUCAACAACAUUCUCACCUGCACUCUUCCUCUCUCAAACCCACUCCUCAGAUUCUAUCCAGUCCCUUCUCGAAGGCCUGGAGUUUUUAUCUAGAUCUAUUGAUCAGAAAUCUGCGUCUUUGAAGGUUUUGGUUGAGUCAAAUUUUGAACGCUUUGUCCGAGCGAAGGCGACGAUCGACAAUGUUUAUACGGAAAUGCGAAACCAAGGCGCACAGCCUGAUGCCCAUCCCCAAGGGUGGCUUUCUCAAAGAACCAGUGUAUCUGGUGCUCACAUGAAAGGAUCUAGUAUAGGAGUUACUGAACGCUCAAUUCCACAGAAAAACUCUCUUACAAAGGAAAGUGAAUAUGGUGUCAAGGGCAUACGCGUACCUUUAGCGGAGGCUUUAGGGAAAGUAGAAGAGGUGUGGGGCGCAGCGCUUGGGGGUCGACAGCGAGAAGAGGGUUUGAAAGCCAUUAUUGAGGCUAUGUCAACACACCGUGAGAUAUAUGAAAUUGGAUCUAAUCUCGUGCAAUCGAUCAAACAGCGAGAUUACGAGGCAGUCGUCGAUCAAUAUACACGCGCUAGAAGACACGCAAUAGACGCACGACUCAUUGCUGACCGUGCUACAGCUUCGAAGCGUCCUUUAUCAGACGAACAAGUUCACUUAAUCCUUGUUACAGGUAGAAUGUGGAUGGAUGUUGAAAAGCAAAUACAAGUGUUUAAGCGGGAUUUGUGGCGACGUUUAAGCACUAUCCAGGCAAAUACCCCCUCGAUGAGCGUCGAUGGUGGUCCCAUCGAGGAGCACAUGGAACUGAUUGCAACAUUACUUGAACUUGGUGUUGAUGAUAACCCAGUCUGGGUCUGGCUCCUCGGACGGUAUGAUUUUUUGAAAACUAAAAUUAUGGCCUUCUGUGAGCGCUCGAAAGUCGAAAUUGAAAUUCUUCGACGACGUCUAGCCAAUGGGGAUAAACCCACUCCUCAAGCUGUCGCUCCGUACAUUCAGCGGACUAACCGUGAUGGUGUCGCAAAUUCCAAAGAUCCACUCGAUACUGAGCUUGUUAUCGAACUAUGGGAGUGCGUACACACAUAUCUGAAAAAACUAUUAUCACUUGAAGGUGGCCUCCUUGGAGACGUCAUCGAGUUUUGGGACACCACACAAUCUUUCAUCGACGGCAGUAAGCAGAAGCUCCUCCCCGCAGGGUUCGAGGGUGAAAGCCGAAAGCACCACCGACUCUCUUCCGGAGGAGUGAGUGAUUUGAAAGAUGGAGUAAUUGAACUUGUAAAUCUCAUCCGCGAAAGUGCAGUAUCGAUAUUUGCCGAUCCUCCUAUAGAGGAUGUGUCGCUUCUACUUUCGCCACUCCCGACGAAUCCCAACUCGCCACUAACUGGCUUUACUCCAACAAACUCACGUUUCAGGAUAGACCCUAAGGAUGUGCCCCUACCGUCACCCAGGCGAGGAGAAGCAUGGGAGGACUUCGCCUUCUGGCCUCCGUAUGCAAACGCUCUUAGUGGCGUUCAUUAUCUUAGUCAAUUUCUAAUAUUAAUUGGAACGGCUGCUAGCGAGAUAGCUGCAAUGAGCCCGAUAUCAAGUGGUGGCAGUACCUACGAUAAGCUGAAGCUUCUUGUCAGUGGUACACGAGAGCGAUCAGUUCGUGCUGUAUGCGCAGCCUGGAAUAAAGACGCUGAGGGUGUGAAAUAUCUAGAGGACUGGACUAGGGACUCCGAGCGUAAGGACAUGACUAAAAUGCCCGGGCUAUUCGUGGCAUUCGAAAGUGCAGUUCUCUCCGGAAUGCAAAAAAUAUUGUAUAUAUCUGAGGCCAUGACGAAACCCGGGAUCGUCGAUGUUGUCACUCCCCCUCCCGCAAAACUUCUUCAAAUGGUUCGGUCGCAGUUUGUAACGAGCGUGUAUAAGGCAUUAAGUGGGCUUGUUGAAAAUGCCGAACACCCAGUUGCGACUGAAGGGGAAAAUGAAUGGAUCCUUCUCGGUCCUGUCGUUCGCAUCGGUGGAUUAGAUAUUUCGUCAUCUAUCCCCUCCUUGGGCGGCAUUGAUGCCAAGAAUAGGAACGUUCGAAUGCUCCUCACGCUCUCCAACCUCAAGGCUCUCCGCACUGAGUACGUCCCUCAAUUGGUGUCUAACUUUGAAACUGCAUUCUCCGUUAAGUUAACCGAGGAGUCCAAAACAAUCCGUGACGUGCUUGGCCAAAUUGACACCCGCCUAUUCCAAUCAUAUACCCGGC
RNAcentral lists this small RNA (2721 nucleotides) under Histoplasma ohiense. RNAcentral's name for it is "hypothetical lncRNA". The record is from RNAcentral. Lineage: Eukaryota; Fungi; Ascomycota; Eurotiomycetes; Onygenales; Ajellomycetaceae.